AAUUUAUACUGCGAAACUGCGAAUGGCUCAUUAUUUUAGUUAUCGCUUAUUUGAUAGCACCUUUUUACUCGGAUAACUGUGGUAAUUCUAGAGCUAAUACGUGCUGAAAUACCCAACUUCGGAAGGGUUGUAUUUAUUAGAUUAAAAACCAAUGCCCUUCGGGGCUUUCUGGCGAUUCAUGAUAACUUCUCGAAUCGCAUGGCCUUGCGCCGGCGAUGGUUCAUUCAGAUUUCUUCCCUAUCAACUUUCGAUGCGAGGGUAUUGUCCUCCCAUGGUUACAACGGGUAACGGAGGGUUAGGGCUCGACCCCGGAGAAGGAGCCUGAGAAACGGCUACUACAUCCAAGGAAGGCAGCAGGCGCGCAAAUUACCCAAUCCCGACACGGGGAGGUAGUGACAAUAAAUACUGAUACAGGGCUCUUUUGGGUCUUGUAAUCGGAAUGAGUACUAUUUAAAUCCCAUAACGAGGAACAAUUGGAGGGCAAGUCUGGUGCCAGCAGCCNCGGUAAUUCCAGCUCCAAUAGCGUAUAUUAAAGUUGUUGUGGUUAAAAAGCUCGUAGUUGAACCUUGGGCCUGGCUUGUCAGUCCCCCUCACCGGGUGCACUGAUCCAGCCGGGUCUUUCCCGCUGUGGAACCCCAUGUCCUUCACUGGUCGUGGCGGGGAAACAGGACUUUUACUUUGAAAAAAUUAGAGUGCUCCAGGCAGGCCUAUGCUCGAAUACAUUAGCAUGGAAUAAUAGAAUAGGACGCGUGGUUCUAUUUUGUUGGUUUCUAGGACCGCCGUAAUGAUUAAUAGGGACAGUCGGGGCCGUCUGUAUUCAAUUGUCAGAGGUGAAAUUCUUGGAUCUAUUGAAGACAAACUACUGCGAAAGCAUUCGGCAAGGAUGUUUUCAUUGAUAAGGAACGAAAGUUAGGGGAUCGAAGACGAUCAGAUACCGUCGUAGUCUUAACUAUAAACUAUGCCGACUAGGGAUCGGACGAUGUUAUUUUUUGACUCGUUCGGCACCUUUCGAGAAAUCAAAGUGCUUGGGCUCCAGGGGGAGUAUGGUCGCAAGGCUGAAACUUAAAGAAAUUGACGGAAGGGCACCCCCGGGGGGGGAACCUGCGGCUUAAUUUGACUCAACACGGGGAAACUCACCAGGUNCAGACACAGUGAGGAUUGACAGAUUGAUAGCUCUUUCUUGAUUCU
RNAcentral lists this ribosomal RNA (1188 nucleotides) under Remispora maritima. Its description in RNAcentral is "SSU rRNA". It matches the Rfam family "Eukaryotic small subunit ribosomal RNA", at positions 71 to 1269 of the family's 1831-position model. The record is from RNAcentral. Lineage: Eukaryota; Fungi; Ascomycota; Sordariomycetes; Microascales; Halosphaeriaceae.